Molecule: long non-coding RNA, 152 nt
Organism: Amblyraja radiata (thorny skate)
Lineage: Eukaryota; Metazoa; Chordata; Chondrichthyes; Rajiformes; Rajidae
Exons: 3
Source: RefSeq, a predicted model, not a curated record
AGGUUAACCUAUGAUGAGCGCUUGUCGGCACUGGAGUUGCACUUGCUGGAGUUUCGAAGACUGAGGGGGGACCUCUUUGAAACAUACAGAAUAGUGAAAGGCUUGGAUAGAGUGGAUGUGGAGAAGAUGUUUCCACUAGUGGGAGAGUCUAG